Molecule: ribosomal RNA, 2802 nt
Filed under: Escherichia coli
Lineage: Bacteria; Pseudomonadati; Pseudomonadota; Gammaproteobacteria; Enterobacterales; Enterobacteriaceae
Description: bacterial LSU rRNA
Rfam family: Bacterial large subunit ribosomal RNA
Source: RNAcentral
GGGUUGUGAGGUUAAGCGACUAAGCGUACACGGUGGAUGCCCUGGCAGUCAGAGGCGAUGAAGGACGUGCUAAUCUGCGAUAAGCGUCGGUAAGGUGAUAUGAACCGUUAUAACCGGCGAUUUCCGAAUGGGGAAACCCAGUGUGAUUCGUCACACUAUCAUUAACUGAAUCCAUAGGUUAAUGAGGCGAACCGGGGGAACUGAAACAUCUAAGUACCCCGAGGAAAAGAAAUCAACCGAGAUUCCCCCAGUAGCGGCGAGCGAACGGGGAGCAGCCCAGAGCCUGAAUCAGUGUGUGUGUUAGUGGAAGCGUCUGGAAAGGCGCGCGAUACAGGGUGACAGCCCCGUACACAAAAAUGCACAUAUUGUGAGCUCGAUGAGUAGGGCGGGACACGUGGUAUCCUGUCUGAAUAUGGGGGGACCAUCCUCCAAGGCUAAAUACUCCUGACUGACCGAUAGUGAACCAGUACCGUGAGGGAAAGGCGAAAAGAACCCCGGCGAGGGGAGUGAAAAAGAACCUGAAACCGUGUACGUACAAGCAGUGGGAGCACGCUUAGGCGUGUGACUGCGUACCUUUUGUAUAAUGGGUCAGCGACUUAUAUUCUGUAGCAAGGUUAACCGAAUAGGGGAGCCGAAGGGAAACCGAGUCUUAACUGGGCGUUAAGUUGCAGGGUAUAGACCCGAAACCCGGUGAUCUAGCCAUGGGCAGGUUGAAGGUUGGGUAACACUAACUGGAGGACCGAACCGACUAAUGUUGAAAAAUUAGCGGAUGACUUGUGGCUGGGGGUGAAAGGCCAAUCAAACCGGGAGAUAGCUGGUUCUCCCCGAAAGCUAUUUAGGUAGCGCCUCGUGAAUUCAUCUCCGGGGGUAGAGCACUGUUUCGGCAAGGGGGUCAUCCCGACUUACCAACCCGAUGCAAACUGCGAAUACCGGAGAAUGUUAUCACGGGAGACACACGGCGGGUGCUAACGUCCGUCGUGAAGAGGGAAACAACCCAGACCGCCAGCUAAGGUCCCAAAGUCAUGGUUAAGUGGGAAACGAUGUGGGAAGGCCCAGACAGCCAGGAUGUUGGCUUAGAAGCAGCCAUCAUUUAAAGAAAGCGUAAUAGCUCACUGGUCGAGUCGGCCUGCGCGGAAGAUGUAACGGGGCUAAACCAUGCACCGAAGCUGCGGCAGCGACGCUUAUGCGUUGUUGGGUAGGGGAGCGUUCUGUAAGCCUGCGAAGGUGUGCUGUGAGGCAUGCUGGAGGUAUCAGAAGUGCGAAUGCUGACAUAAGUAACGAUAAAGCGGGUGAAAAGCCCGCUCGCCGGAAGACCAAGGGUUCCUGUCCAACGUUAAUCGGGGCAGGGUGAGUCGACCCCUAAGGCGAGGCCGAAAGGCGUAGUCGAUGGGAAACAGGUUAAUAUUCCUGUACUUGGUGUUACUGCGAAGGGGGGACGGAGAAGGCUAUGUUGGCCGGGCGACGGUUGUCCCGGUUUAAGCGUGUAGGCUGGUUUUCCAGGCAAAUCCGGAAAAUCAAGGCUGAGGCGUGAUGACGAGGCACUACGGUGCUGAAGCAACAAAUGCCCUGCUUCCAGGAAAAGCCUCUAAGCAUCAGGUAACAUCAAAUCGUACCCCAAACCGACACAGGUGGUCAGGUAGAGAAUACCAAGGCGCUUGAGAGAACUCGGGUGAAGGAACUAGGCAAAAUGGUGCCGUAACUUCGGGAGAAGGCACGCUGAUAUGUAGGUGAAGUCCCUCGCGGAUGGAGCUGAAAUCAGUCGAAGAUACCAGCUGGCUGCAACUGUUUAUUAAAAACACAGCACUGUGCAAACACGAAAGUGGACGUAUACGGUGUGACGCCUGCCCGGUGCCGGAAGGUUAAUUGAUGGGGUUAGCGCAAGCGAAGCUCUUGAUCGAAGCCCCGGUAAACGGCGGCCGUAACUAUAACGGUCCUAAGGUAGCGAAAUUCCUUGUCGGGUAAGUUCCGACCUGCACGAAUGGCGUAAUGAUGGCCAGGCUGUCUCCACCCGAGACUCAGUGAAAUUGAACUCGCUGUGAAGAUGCAGUGUACCCGCGGCAAGACGGAAAGACCCCGUGAACCUUUACUAUAGCUUGACACUGAACAUUGAGCCUUGAUGUGUAGGAUAGGUGGGAGGCUUUGAAGUGUGGACGCCAGUCUGCAUGGAGCCGACCUUGAAAUACCACCCUUUAAUGUUUGAUGUUCUAACGUGGACCCGUAAUCCGGGUUGCGGACAGUGUCUGGUGGGUAGUUUGACUGGGGCGGUCUCCUCCUAAAGAGUAACGGAGGAGCACGAAGGUUGGCUAAUCCUGGUCGGACAUCAGGAGGUUAGUGCAAUGGCAUAAGCCAGCUUGACUGCGAGCGUGACGGCGCGAGCAGGUGCGAAAGCAGGUCAUAGUGAUCCGGUGGUUCUGAAUGGAAGGGCCAUCGCUCAACGGAUAAAAGGUACUCCGGGGAUAACAGGCUGAUACCGCCCAAGAGUUCAUAUCGACGGCGGUGUUUGGCACCUCGAUGUCGGCUCAUCACAUCCUGGGGCUGAAGUAGGUCCCAAGGGUAUGGCUGUUCGCCAUUUAAAGUGGUACGCGAGCUGGGUUUAGAACGUCGUGAGACAGUUCGGUCCCUAUCUGCCGUGGGCGCUGGAGAACUGAGGGGGGCUGCUCCUAGUACGAGAGGACCGGAGUGGACGCAUCACUGGUGUUCGGGUUGUCAUGCCAAUGGCACUGCCCGGUAGCUAAAUGCGGAAGAGAUAAGUGCUGAAAGCAUCUAAGCACGAAACUUGCCCCGAGAUGAGUUCUCCCUGAC